This 253-nucleotide ribosomal RNA is filed under the name uncultured bacterium. RNAcentral's name for it is "partial 16S ribosomal RNA". It matches the Rfam family "Bacterial small subunit ribosomal RNA", at positions 524 to 776 of the family's 1533-position model. The record is from RNAcentral.
UACAGAGGGUGCAAGCGUUAAUCGGAAUUACUGGGCGUAAAGCGUGCGUAGACGGUAGCGUAAGUCGGGUGUGAAAGCCCCGGGCUCAACCUGGGAAUUGCAUUCGAGACUGCUCUGCUAGGGUGCGGAAGAGGGGAGCGGAAUUUCCGGUGUAGCGGUGAAAUGCGUAGAUAUCGGAAGGAACACCAGUGGCGAAAGCGGCUCCCUGGUCCAGCACCGACGUUCAGGCAUGAAAGCGUGGGGAGCAAACAGG